GGUGGAAGAACCAAUUCUUCUUUGCUUCCACUUCUUUUCCUUGGGGGUUCCCUUCUCACUGGGGCGACCCUCGGACUCAACCAAACGAAAAUAGUCGGGUGGAGGAUAGAGACCGAGAGGACUUUCACCGACUGAAGGAUGUGUUGGUGCCAAGGCAGAGGGAGCUCGUCACCGAGCAAGCUCUGUACGAUGUCGACCUGAGUUCGAUUCCUCGCCU
Molecule: long non-coding RNA, 217 nt
Filed under: Elaeis guineensis (African oil palm)
Lineage: Eukaryota; Viridiplantae; Streptophyta; Magnoliopsida; Arecales; Arecaceae
Description: long non-coding RNA (EGUI_LNC009638)
Source: RNAcentral